AGUAUAGGUGUCGGCUCUAUU
RNAcentral lists this microRNA (21 nucleotides) under Oryza sativa (Asian cultivated rice). RNAcentral's name for it is "osa-miR6245". Lineage: Eukaryota; Viridiplantae; Streptophyta; Magnoliopsida; Poales; Poaceae. The record is from miRBase by way of RNAcentral.